AAUAUUGGACAAUGGGGCCAACCCUGUUCCAGCCAUGCCGCGUGUGUGAAGAAGGUCUNUUGAUUNUNAAGCACUUUAAGUUGGGNGGAAGGUCUUUAGGUUAAUACCCUUAUGUUUUGACGUUACACUUAGAAUAAUCACCGCCUAACUCUGUGCACGCAGCCGCGGUAAUACAGAGGGUUCAAGCGUUAAUCGGAAUUACUGGGCGUAAAGAGCGCGUAGGUGGUUCAGUAAGAGGGGUAUGAAAUCCCCGGGCGUAACCUGGGAACUGCGUUCAUAACUGCUGAGCUAGAGUACGGUAGAGGGUAAUGGAAUUUCCUGUGUAGCGGUGAAAUGCGUAGAGAUAGGAAGGAACACCAGUGGCGAAGGCGAAUACCUGGACUGAUACUGACACUGAGGUGCGAAAGCGUGGGGAGCAAAC
RNAcentral lists this ribosomal RNA (421 nucleotides) under uncultured bacterium. RNAcentral's name for it is "partial 16S ribosomal RNA". It matches the Rfam family "Bacterial small subunit ribosomal RNA", at positions 360 to 773 of the family's 1533-position model. The record is from RNAcentral.